This 234-nucleotide ribosomal RNA is filed under the name uncultured bacterium. RNAcentral's name for it is "partial 16S ribosomal RNA". It matches the Rfam family "Bacterial small subunit ribosomal RNA", at positions 8 to 229 of the family's 1533-position model. The record is from RNAcentral.
AGAGUUUGAUCAUGGCUCAGGAUGAACGCUGGCGGCGUGCUUAACACAUUCAAGUCGAACGGAGUUCAAUUUGGGGAGCUUGCUCCCGGCUGAACUUAGUGGCGGACGGGUGAGUAAUGCAUGAGCAACCUGCCUUCAGGAGGGGGAUAACAUCGGGAAACCGGUGCUAAUACCGCAUAGAGCAUUUUGCAGGCAUCUGCGAGAUGGGAAAGGAGCAAUCCGCCUGGAGAUGGG